AUUUGACGUUACCUACAGAAGAAGCACCGGCUAACUCCGUGCCAGCAGCCGCGGUAAUACGGAGGGGUGCGAGCGUUAAUCGGAAUUACUGGGCGUAAAGCGCAUGCAGGCGGCCNGUUAAGUCAGAUGUGAAAGCCCGGGGCGUUAACCUCGGAAUUGCAUUUGAAACUAGGCAGGCUAGAGUCUUGUAGAGGGGGGUAGGAAUUUCAGGUGUAGCGGUGAAAUAGCGUAGAGAUCUGAAGGAAUACCAGUGGCGAAGGCGGCCCCCUCGGACAAAGACUGACGCUCAGAUGCGAAAGCGUGGGGAGCAAACAGGAUUAGAUACCCUGGUAG
RNAcentral lists this ribosomal RNA (333 nucleotides) under uncultured bacterium. Its description in RNAcentral is "bacterial SSU rRNA". It matches the Rfam family "Bacterial small subunit ribosomal RNA", at positions 467 to 793 of the family's 1533-position model. The record is from RNAcentral.